Molecule: ribosomal RNA, 301 nt
Filed under: uncultured bacterium
Lineage: Bacteria
Description: partial 16S ribosomal RNA
Rfam family: Bacterial small subunit ribosomal RNA
Source: RNAcentral
CAGUCGCCGCGGUAAUACAGAGGGUGCGAGCGUUAAUCGGAUUUACUGGGCGUAAAGCGUGCGUAGGCGGCUUCUUAAGUCGGAUGUGAAAUCCCUGAGCUUAACUUAGGAAUUGCAUUCGAUACUGGGAAGCUAGAGUAUGGGAGAGGAUGGUAGAAUUCCAGGUGUAGCGGUGAAAUGGGUAGAGAUCUGGAGGAAUACCGAUGGCGAAGGCAGCCAUCUGGCCUAAUACUGACGCUGAGGUACGAAAGCAUGGGGAGCAAACAGGAUUAGAUACCCCGGUAGUCCCUGUCUCUUAUAC